UUCAGCAAACUCAUACAAGGUGUUCUGCAAAGGGAUUCAUUAACGUGACACAAAAAUUCUUCAACAUGAUUUGCAAGAUUUCUUAGCUUUGAGAACAAUUUCUACAAGUUGGAGUACAAUCUGUAGCUUCUCACUUUCUUAGCUUUGAGAACAAUUUCUACAAGUUGGAGUACAAUCUGUAGCUUCUCACUUCUCAAUUGAGAACAAUUUCUACAAGCAUAUUUAAGGUGAGGUUGACGCAAGAAUCAAUCCUGAUUGUCUCUUCGACAAUUUCACGACUAUAGCGCCGGUUUUUCUCCUUAUCUUAGCAAGAUGGAAAUUACUUCGUAUAAAAAAGUAAGGUAUGUUAAGGUUAUCCCUUCUUUCUUUUGGCCUGAUCUAUACGACACAAAAGAAAUGAGCAAAUGCACAAUUUCUAUAAAUGACUUUAUUCAUAGAAAUACUAGAGAUGCUUAUGUUCUUGAUUCCCCAUGUGUCAUAUUAUUCUAUCAUCUUUUUAUGGGUCUCAAAAAAUACGUAAGUUGAUAAAGUUUAUUUUAUGAUAUUAAUUAAAGUCAUAAUGGUCUUAUGACACUCCGAAAGAUUUUAUUGACGUACUUUUUUGUGCAUUGCACUCAUUUAUACAUGUACAUUGACCCAUGACCAGAUGGCGUUAUAUACUCGUAUAUAUGUAUAUUAUAUUUAAAUAGGAUAUGAAAAAAAGAUUACGGCGUUAUAUACGCACCACUACUCGAUCAGCUGGUAUAUGUUAAUUAUUUUUUCCACAGUGGCCGAGAUGAUAUAAUGGGAUUCCCUCAAAGGCCUGAUGAUAUUAUGAAACAUGUACCUAUGCACGACAUGAAAUUCAUACGCAUGUGCAUGACACUAUAAUUAUUUCAUGAUUUACAGAGUUAUCCAGACUUAAAGGUUGAGUCAUUUACUCUAUAUUUCUUCCAUGUUUGUUAUGUACUUAUUUAUGUGCCUUACAUACUCGGUACAUUAUUCGUACUAACGUCCCUUUUGCCUGGGGACGCUGCGUUUCAUGCCCGCAGGUCCCGAUAGACAGGUCGAGAGUCCUCCAAGUAGGCUAUCAGCUCAGCGGAAGAUGUUGGUGUGCUCCAUUUGUUCCGUAGUUGCUUAUUUGGUCAGUAUAAUUAGGACAUGUAUGGAUUGGUAUGGCGGGGCUCAGUCCCGACCUUUAUGAUACUUAUGUACUCUUAGAGGCUUGUAGACAGAUGUCAUGUAUACGAAUACUUGUAUGGCCUUGUCGGCCUAUGUUUUGAGUUUUUAAAUGAUCAUGUUGGCCUAUUAGGCCCGCGUGUCACGUGUAUAUGAUGAUGUAAUAAUAAAGAUACGUUACGUUGGUACUCGGUUGAGUAAGGUACCGGGUGCCCGUCGCGGCCCAUCGGUUUGGGUCGUGAUGCUGGAGACAGGUAAGAUAUGAGUCAGCAAAUAGUUUGUACCAUAUAGAGACAUGUGAUCGGUGCAAAAUAAGUUCUGAAGGCAUUGGAACCGGGAACGACGAUUUGAAAGGAAGACAUCAGUUGGAGAAGACACUAUUCAAUGAGCAGUCGUUACAGAGAAUCUCUAUAUUCAUGUUCAACCGUUAUGCAGCCAGCAAUACAGAUUUUAUUCUCAUUCAAGAAGAGCUUGAUUUGGGAAUUUUGUCUCCGUGAAUAGAGAUAUUUAAGGAAAAAUUGUAUCCAUGGUUAUACAUGAAAUAUUCUGUACUCAAAAGCUAAAUCAACACUUAUUCUAUUGAAUCGUUAUCUUUCUUGUGUUUUUAACAUUGUUCUUAUUUCUACUACGGAGAAACUAAAUUCACAAUCAGGC
This 1812-nucleotide long non-coding RNA is filed under the name Nicotiana tabacum (common tobacco). Its description in RNAcentral is "long non-coding RNA (NTAB_LNC010699)". Lineage: Eukaryota; Viridiplantae; Streptophyta; Magnoliopsida; Solanales; Solanaceae. The record is from RNAcentral.